UACGUAGGGUGCGAGCGUUAAUCGGAAUUACUGGGCGUAAAGCGUGCGCAGGCGGUUUUGUAAGCCAGAUGUGAAAUCCCCGGGCUUAACCUGGGAAUGGCAUUUGGGACUGCAAGGCUGGAGUGUGGCAGAGGAGACUGGAAUUCCUGGUGUAGCAGUGAAAUGCGUAGAUAUCAGGAGGAACACCGAUGGCGAAGGCAGGUCUCUGGGCUGACACUGACGCUCAUGCGCGAAAGCGUGGGGAGCAAACAGG
Molecule: ribosomal RNA, 253 nt
Filed under: uncultured bacterium
Lineage: Bacteria
Description: partial 16S ribosomal RNA
Rfam family: Bacterial small subunit ribosomal RNA
Source: RNAcentral